GUGCCAGCCGCCGCGGUAAUACGGAGGGCGCAAGCGUUGUUCGGAAUCAUUGGGCGUAAAGCGCGUGUAGGCGGUCUGGUCAGUCGGGUGUGAAAUACCGGAGCUCAACUCCGGAACUGCAUUCGAUACUGCCAGGCUAGAGUCCCGGAGAGGGUGGUGGAAUUCCCGGUGUAGAGGUGAAAUUCGUAGAUAUCGGGAGGAACACCAGCGGCGAAGGCGGCCACCUGGACGGUGACUGACGCUGAGACGCGAAAGCGUGGGGAGCAAACAGGAUUAGAAACCCGCGUAGUCC
RNAcentral lists this ribosomal RNA (292 nucleotides) under uncultured bacterium. RNAcentral's name for it is "partial 16S ribosomal RNA". It matches the Rfam family "Bacterial small subunit ribosomal RNA", at positions 505 to 796 of the family's 1533-position model. The record is from RNAcentral.